UACGGAGGAUCCGAGCGUUAUCCGGAUUUAUUGGGUUUAAAGGGUGCGUAGGCGGUUUGAUAAGUUAGAGGUGAAAUGUCGGGGCUCAACCCCGAAACUGCCUCUAAUACUGUUGGACUAGAGAAUAGUUGCGGUAGGCGGAAUGUAUGGUGUAGCGGUGAAAUGCUUAGAGAUCAUACAGAACACCGAUUGCGAAGGCAGCUUACCAAACUAUAUCUGACGUUGAGGCACGAAAGCAUGGGUAGCAAACAGG
RNAcentral lists this ribosomal RNA (253 nucleotides) under uncultured bacterium. RNAcentral describes it as "partial 16S ribosomal RNA". It matches the Rfam family "Bacterial small subunit ribosomal RNA", at positions 524 to 776 of the family's 1533-position model. The record is from RNAcentral.